UGUGUAGGCGGUGCCCUAAGUCUGUUGUGAAAUCUCCCGGCUCAACUGGGAGGGUGCGGCGGAAACUGGGGUGCUCGAGGGAUGGAGAGGUAAGCGGAAUUCCUGGUGUAGCGGUGAAAUGCGUAGAUAUCAGGAGGAACACCUGUGGUGUAGACAGCUUACUGGACAUUUUCUGACGCUGAGACACGAAAGCGUGGGUAGCAAACAGGAUUAGAUACCCUGGUAGUCCACGCCCUAAACGAUGCAUACUUGGUGUGAGCCAUUCAUUUGGUUCGUGCCGGAGCUAACGCGUUAAGUAUGCCGCCUGGGGAGUACGGUCGCAAGGCUGAA
RNAcentral lists this ribosomal RNA (330 nucleotides) under uncultured bacterium. RNAcentral's name for it is "bacterial SSU rRNA". It matches the Rfam family "Bacterial small subunit ribosomal RNA", at positions 568 to 898 of the family's 1533-position model. The record is from RNAcentral.